GCAGUGAUGGUUCAGUGGUAAAAUUCUUGCCUUCCAUGCUGGAGACCCAGGUUUGAUUCCAGGCCAGUGCA
This 71-nucleotide transfer RNA is filed under the name Loxodonta africana (African savanna elephant). It matches the Rfam family "tRNA". Rfam says of the family: Transfer RNA (tRNA) molecules are approximately 80 nucleotides in length. Their secondary structure includes four short double-helical elements and three loops (D, anti-codon, and T loops). Further hydrogen bonds mediate the characteristic L-shaped molecular structure. tRNAs have two regions of fundamental functional importance: the anti-codon, which is responsible for specific mRNA codon recognition, and the 3' end, to which the tRNAs corresponding amino acid is attached (by aminoacyl-tRNA synthetases). tRNAs cope with the degeneracy of the genetic code in two manners: having more than one tRNA (with a specific anti-codon) for a particular amino acid; and 'wobble' base-pairing, i.e. permitting non-standard base-pairing at the 3rd anti-codon position. The record is from Rfam by way of RNAcentral. Lineage: Eukaryota; Metazoa; Chordata; Mammalia; Proboscidea; Elephantidae.